RNAcentral lists this ribosomal RNA (253 nucleotides) under uncultured bacterium. RNAcentral's name for it is "partial 16S ribosomal RNA". It matches the Rfam family "Bacterial small subunit ribosomal RNA", at positions 524 to 776 of the family's 1533-position model. The record is from RNAcentral.
UACGAACUGUGCAAACGUUAUUCGGAUUCACUGGGCUUAAAGGGUGCGUAGGCGGCUUGCCAAGUCGGGUGUGAAAGCCCCCGGCUUAACCGGGGAAUUGCGCCCUAAACUGGCGAGCUGGAGUGAGAUAGGGGUGUGUGGAACUUCCGGUGGAGCGGUGAAAUGUGUUGAUAUCGGAAGGAACGCCGGUGGCGAAAGCGACACACUGGGUCUCAACUGACGCUGAGGCACGAAAGCCAGGGGAGCGAACGGG